Molecule: non-coding RNA, 1426 nt
Organism: Equus caballus (horse)
Lineage: Eukaryota; Metazoa; Chordata; Mammalia; Perissodactyla; Equidae
Source: RefSeq, a predicted model, not a curated record
CCCAAGGUGAUUGCAUAGGGAUGCACGCUGGGGGUCGCCCCCAAAUUAGGGGGCAAGCUUGGUGGAGGGGAUGGGAUCCUUCCGUGAUCUCUCGGUCCCUCCCACCGUGGAGAUUAUUAGAGAGAUCUCAAGGGGGCAGAAUUUCUUCUCACCCUCCCCACCUCCCCAUCGACUUCUCCAUUUCUUUACAUUCGGCUCAAUUUAGGGCGGGGGGCGGGUGCGAGGAGGACCCUCUGGUUAAGCAUCAUCGAUUCUCUCCAAUUUUCUCCCUUAAAUCCUCCCUUCGGACCCCGCCCCCCAACGUCUCUCUUCUCUGCCAGUUGAGGAGGGUUACUCGGGGGUGAGCCCCCUCCCCCACCCAGGGAGGGGGGAUGGGCGGGGAGGGCCCGGUCCCUCUCGCCGCCCCCCGGCCCGCCCGGGAAGAGGAUGGCGGGAUCCUGCAAUCGAGGGCACCGAGGCGGGAAGACCCUCCCAGGUGCCAGCUCCCGGGAGCCCCCUCCCCCACGCGCCGGCUAGGGGUUGAGCCCGGCCACCCUCUGAGGCUUCCGCAGCGGGUCCCGCAGGCCACGCCCCCACGUGACGUCACCCGUGUGGUCACACCCCUCCCGUAGAGCGCCACCUGGCCCGGGCCAUUCUCUGACGUUAAUUCUUGUCUGAAGAAUUGAGUAAUCCUCUCCCCUUCGACCCUACCCUGGGAGAUCUUGAAUCCUGAUCCACAUGUACACAAGGAGCCUGAUCGAGGAUCUUGAUGGCAGCAAGGAGGCGAGAACAAGAAAUUGGAAAUAACCUGAAUGCCUAUCAAGAGGAGGAUGGAUAGUGAAACCAUUGUGCAUCCCUCGUCUGAAGCGCUGGGCAGCAGCUAAAAAAAAUGAGGUGUGUAAAUGGCACGAAAGAGGUCUCCAACAUAUUAUUGAGUGAAAAAAACAAAUUGCCAAAUGAUACGUAGGGUAUGACAAAAAUGAAGGAAACACCUUAAGGGACCACAUACGUGUGUGUACAUGCAGAGUAAAAGGUCUGGAAAAAUUUACUCCCAACUCACCACAGUGCUGACCAAUAGGAUAAGGAAUGGGGCUGUGGGCAAUUUGAUUUCAAAUAAAGAUUUCAAGCCUUAUCUUGAAAAUGCCAAGUCUCCACCUGCCUCUAGGCUUUCCAACUGCCUCUUCCUUCUGCCUUGAGACACUCUUCUCUGGGGUAUUUGCAUGGCUGCCUCCUUCUCUGUCAGGUUUCUGCUCAGUCGUGCCCUCCACAGAGAUCUUCCCUGAGCCCCUCUGUCUAAAGCGACCAUCCCCAGGUGCAAAAUUGAGUGGCUGUGGGGCGGGGGAGGGAGAAAGGCUUUUCAUCGUUCACCCUUCUGUACCCUUUGAAUUUCCGACCGAGCAAACUUACGACCCAUUCGAGAAAUAAAUGAGUAACAAUUUUAAAAAAC